CAGUGUUCUAGCAAACCAACCUGACAUCCUUGCUUUCAUUUUUUCAUGGAUGUAGGCAAGCAAAUCCACCUUGGAUCCGCUAAAGCACUCAGGCAGACCCAAGUAAGAACCAGAACCUCCUUCACUAAAAAUUCCCAAAUUCUGCUGAAUGUUCACUUUGGCCAAAAGAUCAACGUUUUGACCAAAGGAAAUAGAAGACUUUUGAAUAUUAAUUAGCUGUCCA
This 223-nucleotide long non-coding RNA is filed under the name Arabidopsis lyrata. Its description in RNAcentral is "long non-coding RNA (ALYR_LNC000204)". The record is from RNAcentral. Lineage: Eukaryota; Viridiplantae; Streptophyta; Magnoliopsida; Brassicales; Brassicaceae.